GGAGACCAUACUGCACAGCCUUC
This 23-nucleotide microRNA is filed under the name Columba livia (rock pigeon). RNAcentral describes it as "cli-miR-9644-3p". The record is from miRBase by way of RNAcentral. Lineage: Eukaryota; Metazoa; Chordata; Aves; Columbiformes; Columbidae.